This 433-nucleotide ribosomal RNA is filed under the name uncultured bacterium. RNAcentral's name for it is "partial 16S ribosomal RNA". It matches the Rfam family "Bacterial small subunit ribosomal RNA", at positions 29 to 507 of the family's 1533-position model. The record is from RNAcentral.
AACGAACGCUGGCGGCAUGCCUAACACAUGCAAGUCGAACGAGACCUUCGUGACUAGUUGCGCUCGGGUGCGUAACGCGUGGGAACCUGCCCUUAGGUACGGGAUACUUCCUUGACAGGGGUGAUAAUACCGGAUAAUGUACUCGGACAAAAGAUUUAUCGCCUUUGGAUGGGCGCGCGUUGGUUUAGCUUGUUGGGAGGGGAAAAGCCUAUCAAGGCGUCGCUCGUUAGCUGGUCUGAGAGGAUGAUAAGCCACACUUGGGCUAAGACACGGUCCGGACUCCUAGGGGAGGGAGCAGAGGGGGAUACUGGACUAUGGGCGAAAGGCUGAUCCAGCUAGGCCGGGUAAGUGAUGAAGUCGGUAGGGAAGUAAAGCUCUUUUACCCGGGAUGAUAAUGACAGUACCGGGAGAAUAAGCACCGGCUAACUCCGUG